RNAcentral lists this ribosomal RNA (253 nucleotides) under uncultured bacterium. Its description in RNAcentral is "partial 16S ribosomal RNA". It matches the Rfam family "Bacterial small subunit ribosomal RNA", at positions 524 to 776 of the family's 1533-position model. The record is from RNAcentral.
UACGUAGGGAGCAAGCGUUGUCCGGAAUUAUUGGGCGUAAAGCGUGCGUAGGCGGUCAUUCAAGUCUGGUGUUAAAGCUAGAGGCUCAACCUCUGUGAUGCACUGGAAACUGGAUGACUUGAGUGCGGUAGGGGAAGGUGGAAUUCCGAGUGUAGCGGUGAAAUGCGUAGAUAUUCGGAAGAACACCGGUGGCGAAGGCGACCUUCUGGGCCGCAACUGACGCUGAGGCACGAAAGCGUGGGGAGCAAACGGG